Choloepus didactylus (southern two-toed sloth) is the source of this 694-nucleotide long non-coding RNA. RefSeq lists it as uncharacterized. The record is from RefSeq and is a predicted model, not a curated record. The transcript is spliced from 5 exons. NCBI's taxonomy places the organism in Eukaryota, Metazoa, Chordata, Mammalia, Pilosa, Megalonychidae.
CAGAGAAGCCACGAUCAGCUUCUUUGUAAAGGCCUCCUAAUGAAGCAAGAAAACCUGGCAAGUGGUGUUGGUGAUUGUUAAACUCUCCAUGCUAUCCUGUGCCUCACAACUAUCUAAAGAAGCAGCACAGGAACCACCUGCUAAUGGAACUGAAGGCAAUUGGCAGAGCUGAUACUUUAUCCUUUCUUCCUGCUGGCUCAGUCCAACCUGUAGGUCUCCAGAUCACCAGCUUGCAGUUCCUUAUUUGAGUAAAAAUGUUUAUCAAGUUCUAAAGGAUUACUCAGUGUCAUCUUCAUCAGCCAACCAUCUUCAUAACAAGAUUUGUUGACAAGUCCUGGAUUUUCUGCAAGAGCUUCAUUAAGUUGUUACUUCUCCUGAUAGAGGAGAAUAAAGUUCACCGGCAGCUCUCACACUUUCCAAAGCGCCAAACUCCUCGUUUGUUCAAUUUUGUCCCCACCUCAGGAAGACUAUGUUAAAGACAUCUCCCAAAGCUUCCUGUGCAGAAUUGCUGAUUCCCCUUGUUCCAGUACUAUCUUCUGUUGUUAUCCAUUCAUGUUGGUGAAUUUCUGCACCAAGAGCCGAGCGAGGCCUGUGCGCAGCGGCGGAACACCGCUCGCCGGAAGCCCCCAGGGCCUUGGCGGGCAGGACGUGGUGGGCCGGGGGCCGUGCGCAGGCUGCAGACGUCGGUCCGCAC